This 273-nucleotide ribosomal RNA is filed under the name uncultured Burkholderiales bacterium. RNAcentral describes it as "partial 16S ribosomal RNA". It matches the Rfam family "Bacterial small subunit ribosomal RNA", at positions 508 to 779 of the family's 1533-position model. Lineage: Bacteria; Pseudomonadati; Pseudomonadota; Betaproteobacteria; Burkholderiales. The record is from RNAcentral.
CCAGCAGCCGCGGUAAUACGUAGGGUGCGAGCGUUAAUCGGAAUUACUGGGCGUAAAGCGUGCGCAGGCGGCUUUGACAAGACAGAGGUGCGAUCCCCGGGCUCAACCUGGGAACUGCCUUUGUGACUGCAAGGCUAGAGUACGGCAGAGGGGGAUGGAAUUCCGCGUGUAGCAGUGAAAUGCGUAGAUAUGCGGAGGACACGCGAUGGCGAAGGCAAUCCCCUGGGCCUGUACUGACGCUCAUGCAUAAAAGCGUGGGGAGCAAACAGGAUU